AUUGAACGCUGGCGGCAGGCCUAACACAUGCAAGUCGGACGGUAGCACAGAGAGCUUGCUCUCGGGUGACGAGUGGCGGACGGGUGAGUAAUGUCUGGGGAUCUGCCCGAUAGAGGGGGAUAACCACUGGAAACGGUGGCUAAUACCGCAUAACGUCGCAAGACCAAAGAGGGGGACCUUCGGGCCUCUCACUAUCGGAUGAACCCAGAUGGGAUUAGCUAGUAGGCGGGGUAAUGGCCCACCUAGGCGACGAUCCCUAGCUGGUCUGAGAGGAUGACCAGGCACACUGGAACUGAGACACGGUCCAGACUCCUACGGGAGGCAGCAGUGGGGAAUAUUGCACAAUGGGCGCAAGCCUGAUGCAGCCAUGCCGCGUGUAUGAAGAAGGCCUUCGGGUUGUAAAGUACUUUCAGCGGGGAGGAAGGCGGUGCGGUUAAUAACCGCGCCGAUUGACGUUACCCGCAGAAGAAGCACCGGCUAACUCCGUGCCAGCAGCCGCCGUAA
RNAcentral lists this ribosomal RNA (504 nucleotides) under uncultured bacterium. Its description in RNAcentral is "partial 16S ribosomal RNA". It matches the Rfam family "Bacterial small subunit ribosomal RNA", at positions 29 to 523 of the family's 1533-position model. The record is from RNAcentral.